Molecule: long non-coding RNA, 1623 nt
Filed under: Nicotiana tabacum (common tobacco)
Lineage: Eukaryota; Viridiplantae; Streptophyta; Magnoliopsida; Solanales; Solanaceae
Description: long non-coding RNA (NTAB_LNC005407)
Source: RNAcentral
UUGCCCACCCAAUUUGAGGGAAUUCAGUAAUUAAUUAAGUACAACUUCCAGUUUUAUUUUAUUUUGAUGUUUAGAGGACGCAUAGUUUACCAAGGUCGCGAAGUAACCUCAGCAAUGGCGACAAGUGCUUCUGUGCUUGGUAAUCUUUCUCGCUUAUUUAUCGACUUGCAGUUGGUUAUUUCAAACAUAUUAAAUUUGCCAAAUAUAAAAAUAUCUGAUAUUCGACUCACAAAAAGUAGGGGCUUUCUGAUAAUUGAAGUUAUUGAUCAUCAAGUUGUGAUUUUUUCUACACCAGUUCUUUUUCAAUUUGUUCAUUGUGCUCCUUUGGGGAUAUGUUAUCUGCUACAGAAUAAAGGUUAAGAUUAUCUCUUACCUCUUGAGGUUCGACUAAUGAUUUCAUCAGUUGGCCAUGAGGAAAUAGUUAGCGGUUGUUCAUCACAAGUUGGACUCUGGUCUCUGUUUGUUUGUUGGGGAUUUCUUUUAAUUAUAUUUUCUUCUUCUUUUUGGUAUAUAUCAAGAUGUGCAUUCUUAACGUUUUAUAUAAAAGGGUCAUUAGUUUUCCAUUUUUCCUCCUUUAAGUAAUGAAUUGGUCGGAAGGGAAUCAUAACAAGCAUGUAAAUGAAAUUGCUUUCACUAUACUUAGUGUUGGCAUCAGAAAGCUUGAUAAAGCUUGGAGUAUUAAAAAUGGUUCUCCGAUGUUACGCAAUCCAGAACCAUUAUUUCUUGCAGAUACAAGAAAAGAAGUACAAGAUAGGCAAACGAAAUACAUGAGUAUUCAAUAAGAAGUCAUCCUUCUUUAUUUUCUUGCAGAUGCUCUUUGUUUUCCUCCUGUCUUUUAAUUGAUGCUGUCCACAGAAAGGAAAAGAAAAAGCGGAAAAAGAUUUUAAGUCAGAAAAGAAAUUUUUUAAUAGUGAAUUAAACUUUUGUCUAAAUGCAUAAAAAGAGUAACUUACAUAUCACAGUUAACAGUUCUGGAGACAGGGGUAUCCAUAGUGACACCACACUUGGUGGGAAGAGCUUGAGCUGCAUCGUCUUUAAGGUUCGCGUACCUAUUAGCAGCAGCCUUGACACAAUUGCAAGCUGUCCUUUUGUCAGCUGUGGUUUGAGCCAAUUCUUUUAGGCUUUUCACCCCACUGCAGCAAGCUGAACUUGGAUCACCGCCCUGAGUAAGGUAAGGGAUACAUGGUGCUAAAGAAGCGUCCACUUGACCACAGGUAAGAGCUUGUCCUGGCUCAAACAUGAGCUGAAUCAUGGCCAACACUGCAAUGGCAAUGAUGAUUCCCUUCAUCUUUUCUUCAGUUUUUGUGUAAGAAAAAAGAUAGUUUUAAGGUGGAAAGUGAGGCAGGUGUUUUUCUCUGGAUUCUUGAUUAGCCGUGUUGAUGACUAGCCAGUGUCUUAGGAGGGUAUAUAUAGGAAUAUGAAAAGUGCUAAGAAAAGUAAGUUGUUCUUUGCUGUGGUAAUAUCAGUUAUCUCUUUUCGGAUUUUUGUUUCCUUGUUAUGUCAUUUCCUGAUUUGUUUCAGAAGAAAGGAACAAAUAGUCUUACAUGUUAUGAUAGUUCUUUGCAGGUAUUGAUGAUGCUCACCUUUCUCUACUAGUGGUGCUUAGGGAUAAAAGAACUCAAC